UGUAAGGAGUGAUCCCGGUUCCUCACAGAUAAACUGUGCGACUGGAACUAAUGUCAAUGUAGGGAGCGUCCUCGAGGGAUAUGAAGGUGAAGUAGAGCUUCUCACUAAUAUCGGACCUAAUGAUCGUCUGGUGCUGGAGUCAUAUCUGUUUCCUGUUGGUUUGGAGUUUGUGGAGCUGAUUUAUUCUGAAGGAGAUUCAUCUGCUUCUGUACGAACCAGAAAACCACUGGACGCUGAUGAACUAAAGCAGUAUGGAGAGAAAUUAUAUUAUUCAGUCACCUGCUUGAACACAGGGCUAAAAAACCUCCGGACGGUAGACAUUCUGGACAUCAAUGACAACCCUCCGAUCUUCCAGAGCCAAUCAUACAG
This is a long non-coding RNA of Carassius auratus (goldfish), 369 nucleotides long. RefSeq lists it as uncharacterized. The record is from RefSeq and is a predicted model, not a curated record. Lineage: Eukaryota; Metazoa; Chordata; Actinopteri; Cypriniformes; Cyprinidae. The transcript is spliced from 5 exons.